Oryzias melastigma (Indian medaka) is the source of this 2448-nucleotide RNA transcript. It is a transcript of the gene named ribosomal protein L18, with no coding region annotated. Lineage: Eukaryota; Metazoa; Chordata; Actinopteri; Beloniformes; Adrianichthyidae. The transcript is spliced from 7 exons. The record is from RefSeq and is a predicted model, not a curated record.
AGGAGAAAAAAAGAAAUGACAUUUGAAAAAAAAAAUUUUCUAUGCACUGCUCCCUUCUCUGCUCCAUUCUGAUGCAUUCACUUGUUGACAAAUAGAUUCGUGUACGUCCUUAUUUUCCUCGUGUGAACUGGUAUCUGGCUCCAAACUGUAUGGCUGGAUAGCUCGGUUAUUGCUUUGUUGCUCUGUUAAACUUAAGUUUGGGAUGUGAGGGGCUGUAAGCUGGCAGGAACAGAGAGGGGAAGUGGGGCGGGGUUGCCCCGCCCACAACUCAGAGCUGAAUUUCUACUGAACUACUAUCACUCUGCAGAAACUACCUUUUUUUUUGGCUAAUAACAGCCGAAUCAUAGAUCUAACGAUGGUUGGAGUGGGACUUUAACGUAAACAUUUCUCAGUGAUGAUCGGAGAAAAAAAAAGAGUGAAAAGACUUAGUUUAUCUCAAAGCCCUUUGCUCCGAGAGCUGACUGCAGCUGCAGGAGUCUGGUCUAUUUAUAGGAACCCCACAUGUUCUUUCAACGGCUUUAGAGAAGGAACAGCCGACAAACAAAUGUCUGUAGAUUUCCCUUCAAUCCUUCUUACUUCAGCCCUUCUGUGAAGCAUAUUUGACUCCUCUGGUUACCGUUAUCAGACUUUCUUUACUACAUUGGAAGAACUUUGUCCCUGUGUGAAGACCUCUGCCACACUUGCUCCUCCCUUUUUAUUAGCGUAACCAAUCAAGUAAGAGUUAGUAGCUCUUUGAAAUAAAACACAGAAGAGAAAAGAAACACACAGAAAGAUACAUUUCUUUGACCAUGAAGCGGGCUUGGGCUUUAUUUAAAGCUCACCCCUACAUCAGUAACGUCCUGGGAUACACAGCGCUCUUUGCUUCAGCAGACCUCAUCCAGCAGAGCGUCCUGCGAGGGAAACCCAGCACCACAUCUGCAUCAGAGGACACGCCGGCGAGCAUCGACUGGCGUCAGACGGCCCGUGUGGCGACUGUUGGCUUCUGUUUCCAUGCCAACUUCAACUAUCACUGGCUGCGGGGGCUGGAGAGGAUGCUGCCAGGAGGCGGCGUGAAGGCGGUGGCGGGAAAAGUUGUGGUGGAUCAACUUAUAGCAGCUCCUCUCACCAUCAGUGCUUUUUACAUCGGUUUGAGUUUAAUGGAAAGCAAAGUGGAUCCUCUUGAAGUCUGGAGACAGAAAUUCUGGACUUCUUACAAGGCUGGGGUGGUUUAUUGGUCAACAAUGCAGGCGAUCAACUUUACCUUUGUUCCCCCUGUGGCACGGACAGCGUUCCUCGGAGGCGUCGCUCUAACGUUCACGAUCUUUCUUUGCCACUUCAAACAGCAGCAGAAUCGCUGACCCAAACAAGCCCAACAAAUUCCUAAUGCAAGGUUUAGAUCUGAUCCGUCUGUCUAGGAAUGAUAAGAUCUUAAGGGAAAAACAAAAACUGGGAGGGAUUCCACAUUAACACUGGUUAAUUUGAAAAUCAGAAGAACUGCUCAAAUCUGAACUGUGUACAUAAAAAUGUAUUAAAAAAAGAUUGCAUUUCUGAAACUGUACAUUAUAAAUGUAGUUUUUGAGCUAUAAAGUAUGAAGCCAUACACUAUUAAACAAACCGUGAAUCUACAAAAGGUCUGGAUUUUUCAUUUUGCACAAGAAAUUAGUAAAGUAAUAUUUUAUUCUGAAAACUAAACACAAUUUUUUAAAAAGUGAAGUGAAAUACAUGUCAUCCUAGAUUGAGAUAUUAGCAUUGUCAAGGUUCUUAAUAUGUCCUUUGUUAGUACAUUAUGAAAUUAUUUGUUUAUUCAGUUCAUAAAAAUAAUAAAAUUCCUGCAAAUUAAACAAAUGUUUUUAAUCUUUUUUUUACUUUAACUUGGGUCCAAACUUAAAACUUAGCUCUAUAUUUGUUACAGUUUCAUUUAAUGUAAUUUUUUCUUCUUUUUUUUAUUUUUUAUUUUCAUCUAAUUUUCCUUUAUGCUAUAAAACCAUUUGAAUGUCUAUGAAGCAACUUCAUAUUGACUUUAUUUUUUGUUUUAGAGUAGCAUUAAAGUAAGGAUAAGUUCAAAUGAAUGAAUUAAUCCUUUGGGAUAUGAAUAAAGUUCAAUUUAAAUAAUAAAGAGUUAAUUGCAUUUAAAAUAUGUCAAUUUAUAGAAUCAAAUAAAUUGCUCUUAUAAAAGUUCCGUGAAAGUCCAUUUAGAAAGUGCUCAAUGUAAUGAUCAGUCCUGCCACGUGGGGCAGCAUCAGAAAUCAGCACAUUACUUUUUUUUGCUGGUUGGCAGGAAACGGGUACUUUAGAACCAAUCACAUGCUCGAGAUUUCGGCCACGUAUGUUAUCGCGAGAACUUUGGCCUUCCUUUUCCCUUUUCGCUCUGAAUCCAAGAUGGGCGUAGACAUCAGGCACAACAAGGACCGCAAGGUGCACAGGAAGGAGCCAAAGAGCCAGGAUAUCUACCUGAGGCUCCUGGUUAAG